GACAAACGCUGGCGGCGUGCUUAACACAUGCAAGUCGAACGGAAAGGCCCUGCUUUUGUGGGGUGCUCGAGUGGCGAACGGGUGAGUAACACGUGAGUAACCUGCCCUUGACUUUGGGAUAACUUCAGGAAACUGGGGCUAAUACCGGAUAGGAGCUCCUGCUGCAUGGUGGGGGUUGGAAAGUUUCGGCGGUUGGGGAUGGACUCGCGGCUUAUCAGCUCGUUGGUGGGGUAGUGGCUUACCAAGGCUUUGACGGGUAGCCGGCCUGAGAGGGUGACCGGCCACAUUGGGACUGAGAUACGGCCCAGACUCCUACGGGAGGCAGCAGUGGGGAAUAUUGCACAAUGGGCGGAAGCCUGAUGCAGCAACGCCGCGUGCGGGAUGACGGCCUUCGGGUUGUAAACCGCUUUCGCCUGUGACGAAGCGUGAGUGACGGUAAUGGGUAAAGAAGCACCGGCUAACUACGUG
This 468-nucleotide ribosomal RNA is filed under the name uncultured bacterium. Its description in RNAcentral is "partial 16S ribosomal RNA". It matches the Rfam family "Bacterial small subunit ribosomal RNA", at positions 28 to 507 of the family's 1533-position model. The record is from RNAcentral.